CCUACGGGUGGCAGCAGUGAGGAAUAUUGGUCAAUGGCCGGAAGGCUGAACCAGCCAAGUCGCGUGAGGGACGACUGCCCUAUGGGCUGUAAACCUCGUUUAUAAGGGAAGAAUAAAUGCUACGUGUAUCAUGAUGCCUGUACCUUAUGAAUAAGCAUCGGCUAACUACGGUCCAGCAGCCGCGGUAAUACGGAGGGUGCGAGCGUUAACCGGAAUUACUGGGCGUAAAGCGCGCGUAGGCGGUUUGUCAAGUCAAGGGUGAAAUCCCAGCGCUCAACGUGGGAACUGCCUUUGAAACUGGCAAACUGGAGUGUAUAAGAGGAUAGUGGAAUUCCAGGUGGAGGAGUGAAAUCCGCAGAUAUCUGGAGGAACACCAGUGGCGAAGGCGACUAUCUGGCACAUAACUGACGCUGAGGAGCGAAAGCGUGGGUAGCAAACAGGAUUAGAUACCCCUGUAGUC
This 460-nucleotide ribosomal RNA is filed under the name uncultured bacterium. RNAcentral's name for it is "partial 16S ribosomal RNA". It matches the Rfam family "Bacterial small subunit ribosomal RNA", at positions 338 to 795 of the family's 1533-position model. The record is from RNAcentral.